UUUCAAUGUGCAGUACAAUAAUUAACUAGGU
Molecule: non-coding RNA, 31 nt
Filed under: Rattus norvegicus (Norway rat)
Lineage: Eukaryota; Metazoa; Chordata; Mammalia; Rodentia; Muridae
Source: RNAcentral